Penaeus indicus is the source of this 1941-nucleotide RNA transcript. RefSeq lists it as uncharacterized. The transcript has 6 exons. The record is from RefSeq and is a predicted model, not a curated record. Lineage: Eukaryota; Metazoa; Arthropoda; Malacostraca; Decapoda; Penaeidae.
AGAGUUGAAGCGCAGGAGUUGCAGGCGGUCGUGGCGGCGGCGGCGGAGGAGGCGAGGCAGGCAGAUCCGAGCGAGCCUUCGACGGGUGUGGAGCUCCUUCCUGUCACGCGCCGCCGCUCCUCGCCGUCGCUUCUUUCUCUUCGUCUCCCCCUCUCCCUCUGUCUGUUUCUUCGGCCGACGAGCACUUUCCCCUUCGCGUGGAAGACCUGAAGGCUGAACGUUGGCACUUCGGGCGCGACACCGCAAUGGAGAUGUGGAUUGCAUGUGCUUCGCUGCAGCUGCUGGCGGUGCUGGCAGUGCUGACCCAGGGGGGCGCAGCGGCCUCCACCGCAGCCGAGACGACCUUGCUCCGCUGGAAGCGCCAGGCCAUCCACUGCCAGCCGGGAGACGCGGCCUGCGCGCUCUGCUCGUCCUCCUGUGACACCGUGGAGGCGUCCCGGCUGCCCGAGUGCUGCGAGGCCUACGGCGCCUGCUGCGACCAGUACUUCAAGGCGUGCAAGCAAUGCUCCAACAUUGUAAACGAAGACAAGUUUUUCCCCGAGUACUGCUGCGCUUCCUUCACCGACUGCUGCGACCUCAUAACCACUUUCACCACGGAGGUCAAGGCCCCGACUUCGCGCAAAGCCAAGGGCAAGGCCAAGGUGGACCUGCCCGUGCCCAUCACUCCGGCUCCCAGGCCCGAGGUCUUCCCAGGGGUCAGCGAGUACCCGGGCGAGGAAGCCCGGCCCGAGGCUCCCCUUGUUCCUGCAGCGCCUGUUGACCCAGUCGCCGCUGUUGCCCCAGAGGCUCCUGAUGCCCCAGGGGCUCCUGUUGCCCCAAAGGCUCCUGUAGCCCCCAGCGCACCAUUCCCCGCCGACUCAGCGAGAGAGCAGCCUAAGCGCGGCCGAGGUGCUGGCAGCAAUGGAGGUGCCGCAGGCGGCCGCGGCGCCGCCCGGGGGAGGCAGCCCCAGCGCAGCCAGGCGCAGGGACCGCCGGCCAACAACAGGAGAGGGCGCGUCACGUCCAGGGGCCGCGUGCUGUAACCUCUUCCCUCUCGCUCCUCCUUUCGCCCUGUCUUGUCUCUUCAGUCUAUUCUUAAGCCUUUUCUUUAUUUCACAUCUUACCUCUUUCUUCUAACUAUUGCUUUAUAUUCUCUAAAUCAUCAUUUAGCCCUUCCCCUUCUUUCUCUUGUAUAUGAAAUCGUAGCGAAUUUCGAAAAUUUCAAUUCCUCUUCUCUUUGUGCCUAAAUAUUCAACAUUCACCAUAUUUCUCGUCUCUCUCUCUCUCUCUCUCUCUCUCUCUCUCUCUCUCUCUCUCUCUCUCUCUCUCUCUCUCUCUCUCUCUCUCUCUCUCUCUCUCUCUCUCUCUCUCUCUCUCUCCUCUCUCUUUCCCUCUCCCUCUCCCUCUUCCUCUCCCUCUUCCUCUCCCUCUUCCUCUCCCUCUCCCUCUCCCUCUCCCUCCCUAGUUCUCUCCUGUCCCUUCGACCUUCCCGCCUUCCUCCCCGCCUGUCGUCCUGGCCCCUGCUGCAGGAGCUGCUGCCGAAGAGACUCGAGAUAAGAUCAGAAAAUGUGGAACUGUCUCCAUUGUUAUUAGUAUAUACUGCAGUUUUCUCUUUCAAGUGAUCUGUUCUAUUUCUUUUAUUACUCAUCUAAGCACUGUCGCCUGGCCGUCCCAGUUCAACGUCAGCGAUUGCACAAUCCGGUAGCCCUCGCAUUAUCGGGUCCUUCGGAAGCGGCAGGAUCUCCUUGACUUGGAAACGGCAGUUUUGCUUCUUAAAAGGAGGCCGAGCCUGGCGUUUCGCGGACCACUACUGGAGAGUGAAAAAGCAGGUCCUUUCAAGAGUCGACCGCGCCCGGCGUUGGCUUCACGGAUCGGGUUGCGCUGCCCGCGCCUCGCCCUCGUGGGCUGCGCCGAAGUCAACGACUCCUCGGGGAUAUUUCAUAAGAAUAAACGGAAAUCGUA